This 347-nucleotide long non-coding RNA is filed under the name Zonotrichia albicollis (white-throated sparrow). Its description in RNAcentral is "lncRNA (ENSZALG00000003850.1)". The record is from RNAcentral. Lineage: Eukaryota; Metazoa; Chordata; Aves; Passeriformes; Passerellidae.
UUCAUUUUGAGGGUGUUUAAGAGGUUAAUAUAAAUUGAGAAUUUGAAAACACCUCUUUCUUCAUUUCAGAUUAUUCUGUAGAAGGCAAAGCAGCUUUGAGAUGGGAUUUUUUUAGUUAAAUAAAUUUCCAGAACCAUCUGAGCAAAACCAAAAAGAUUGCAUUGCAGCCUGAAGAGAUUUUUGACUCCACAGAUAUCCUGCAAGAGGUUCAAGUGUUGCCCCUGCAUCUCUCCAGAGCCCUCUCAAGGGACAAUAGUUCUCUCCAUUGCCAACAGGCAAAAGUUCUCCUGUUUUCUCAAUGACACCUAUUUUCCGGAUAUUAUACUGCCACUGAUGGAAUAAAGAAG